Molecule: transfer RNA, 69 nt
Filed under: Aristeus virilis
Lineage: Eukaryota; Metazoa; Arthropoda; Malacostraca; Decapoda; Aristeidae
Description: tRNA-Phe
Source: RNAcentral
AUCCAUGUAGCUUAAUUUUAAGAGCAUUGUGUUGAAGCCGCAGAGGAGAUAGUUAAUUAUCCGUGGAUG